ACUCUUCACGAUGGAUAUCUUGGCUCUUGAAUCGAUGAAGAACGCAGCGAACUGCGAUACGUAAUGCGAACUGCAGAAGUCUGUGAGUCAUUGAAUCUUUGAACGCAUAUUGCACUUCCUUUGGGAGUAUGCUUGUUGGAGUGUGAUUUGACUUGGAUGUCUGUCUACUUAUAGUAGUUGGAUGGACGAUGAUUGAUGGUGGAUAACUACUAUGUAAGAGUUUCCUCCAUUGAAAUAGAAUGUGGUUGAUUGAGGAGUUAAAUUGGUAAAUAUCAAUUAAUUCCCUUUCUCUUAUUACUUUACCCUUUUUCAUCUCCAAUCAAGCAAGAAGACCUGCUGAAUUGAAGCAUCUAACUAAGCAGAGGAAAAGAAAAUAACGAUGAUUCCCUUAGUAACGGCGAGUGAAGUGGGAAAAGCCCAAUCCGAAUUAACAGUUAAUUGUGUUAAGUUGUGGAGUGUAGAAGUAUUGUUUAGUAAGAGUAUACUAUGAGAAUUGGAUUGGAAAGUCAAGUCAUAGAAGGUGAAAACCCUGUAUUUGCAUAGUGUAUUGUACUUUUGAAGCAGUACUUCGUGGAGUCGAGUUGUUUGGGAUUGCAGCUCGAAGUUGGUGGUAAACUCCAUCAAAGGCUAAAUAUGUUCAAGAGACCGAUAGCGAACAAGUACCGUGAGGGAAAGAUGAAAAGCACUUUGAAAAAAGAGUGAAAUAGUACUUGAAAUCGUGGAGGGGUUAAGCGUAGGAGUGGUUGAAUGAUGCAUGGAUUGUUAUUGUUGCAUGUUUGUGAUGAUAAGAAUGUAUGCAAAGGAGUGGUUGUUUAGUGGUGGUGGAAUGUGUUACAUUGCUACUGAACCUCCUCUUUCCUAAUAACUGCUUCUCCGUCCCGUCUUGAAACACGGACCAAGGAGUCUAUCAUAUUUGCGAGUAGUUUAGUGUUAAACUAAAAUGCGUAAUGAAGGUAAUGGUUGUGACGAACCUUGAACGGGUUUAGCAACAACUACCGGUCUUGCAUCUCUGAUAAAGGAUUCGAGUAUUAGCAAAGAUGGUGGGACCCGAAAGAUGGUGAACUAUGCCUGAAUAGGACGAAGCCAGGGGAAACUCUGGUGGAGGUUCGAGUGGAUUCUAACGUGCAAAUUGAUCUUUAAAUUUGGGUAUAGGGGCGAAAGACUAAUCGAACCAUCUAGUAGCUGGUUCCUUCCGAAAUUUCCCUCAGGAUAGCUGCAACUGUGUCUAGUUUUAUGAGGUAAAGCGAAUGAUUAGAGGAUUCUGGGAUGUAAUAUCCUGGACCUAUUCUCAAACUUUGAAUGGGUAAGAUAUUACAGUUGCUUAUUUUUCUGAACUGUAAUUUUGAAUGGAGUAGUUCGCUAGGUGGGCCAUUCCGGGUAAGCUGGACUGGCGAUGCGGGAUCAACCGAACGAUAUGGUACGGCGCCUAAUUGUUCGCUCAGUUAGAUAGAAAAGGUGUUAGUUCAUCUAGACAGCAGGACGGUGGCCAUGGAAGUCGGAAUCCGCUAAGGAGUGUGUAACAACUCACCUGCCGAAUGAAGUAGCCCUGAAAAUGGAUGGCGCUUAAGCGAACAGCCUAACCAUGUCUGUCACCCUAAUAAAAGGUUUAUUUCAGGAUGACAAGUAGGAAGGCGUGAUGGAUAUUGAAAAGUAUAUGUGUAAACUUAUAUGGAAUGUCCAUUAGUGCAGAUCUUGGUGGAAGUAGCAAAUAUUCAAAUGAGAUCUUUGAAGACUGAAGUGGAGAAAGGUUCCAUAGGAAUCGUGUUGAACUAUGGGUUAGUCGGUCCUAAGAGAUAGGUGAAAUCCGUUGAAAAAGUUCUUUUGUAUUUUUAGAAUUGUGGAUCGAAAGGGAAUCAGGUUAAUAUUCCUGAACCAAUGAAAUGGAAUUGAAUGGUAACAGAGAAUAAUAUUAUGACAUCGGUUACUCUCCUGGGAAGAGUUUUCUUUUCUUGUUAACAAUAAUAAAAGCUUGGAAUGGAAUGAAUCCGCGAAAAGGUUUUGUUAUUGGUAAAGGAAUUCAAUAUUUUGAAUUCUCCGGUGCAGAGUAAUGGGUCCUUGAAAAGUAAUAUUAUUUCCCUCCCUUUGGGAAUACAUUUCAUUGUCCGUACUCAUAACCGCAUCAGGUCUCCAAGGUGAAUAGCCUCUAGUUAAUAGAAUAAUGUAGAUAAGGGAAGUCGGCAAAUUAGAUCCGUAACUUCGGGAUAAGGAUUGGCUCUGAGGGCUAGGUGUGAUUUUAUCAGCAAUGAUAGGAUCGUCAGUUCUUGGUUAUCAAAUGAAUGAGAUGAUUGAUGGAGUUGUUAAUUUCCCCCUGGGGAGGUGGACGGCCCUAUUAACUAUUUCUGCAAUUUGUCAACCUUGAAUUUGAAGCACAAUGAAUAGCUGACUCAGAACUGGUACGGACAAGGGGAAUCCGACUGUUUAAUUAAAACAAAGCAUUGUGAUAGUGUGAAAGAUAUAUUGACACAAUGUGAAUUCUGCCCAGUGCUCUGAAUGUCAAAGUGAAGGAAUUCAACCAAGCGCGGGUAAACGGCGGGAGUAACUAUGACUCUCUUAAGGUAGCCAAAUGCCUCGUCAUCUAAUUAGUGACGCGCAU
RNAcentral lists this ribosomal RNA (2593 nucleotides) under Blastocystis hominis. RNAcentral's name for it is "eukaryotic LSU rRNA". The stretch from base 310 to 2593 matches the Rfam family "Eukaryotic large subunit ribosomal RNA", at positions 1 to 2316 of the family's 3401-position model. The record is from RNAcentral. Lineage: Eukaryota; Bigyra; Opalinata; Blastocystidae.